Molecule: transfer RNA, 73 nt
Filed under: Stegodyphus mimosarum
Lineage: Eukaryota; Metazoa; Arthropoda; Arachnida; Araneae; Eresidae
Rfam family: tRNA
About the family: Transfer RNA (tRNA) molecules are approximately 80 nucleotides in length. Their secondary structure includes four short double-helical elements and three loops (D, anti-codon, and T loops). Further hydrogen bonds mediate the characteristic L-shaped molecular structure. tRNAs have two regions of fundamental functional importance: the anti-codon, which is responsible for specific mRNA codon recognition, and the 3' end, to which the tRNAs corresponding amino acid is attached (by aminoacyl-tRNA synthetases). tRNAs cope with the degeneracy of the genetic code in two manners: having more than one tRNA (with a specific anti-codon) for a particular amino acid; and 'wobble' base-pairing, i.e. permitting non-standard base-pairing at the 3rd anti-codon position.
Source: Rfam by way of RNAcentral
GUUUUCGUGGUGAAGUGGUCGACACACUCGACGCGUAACCGAGAGGUCCGCGGUUCGAUUCCGGGCAAAGGCG